RNAcentral lists this transfer RNA (70 nucleotides) under Myrmecocephalus concinnus. RNAcentral describes it as "tRNA-Trp". Lineage: Eukaryota; Metazoa; Arthropoda; Insecta; Coleoptera; Staphylinidae. The record is from RNAcentral.
AAGGAUUUAAGUUAAAUUUAAACUUGUAACCUUCAAAGUUACCUAUAAAGAGAAUCUACUUUAAGCCUUA